Molecule: ribosomal RNA, 307 nt
Filed under: Fusarium tricinctum
Lineage: Eukaryota; Fungi; Ascomycota; Sordariomycetes; Hypocreales; Nectriaceae
Description: eukaryotic LSU rRNA
Rfam family: 5.8S ribosomal RNA (bases 1-123)
Source: RNAcentral
AUCGAUGAAGAACGCAGCAAAAUGCGAUAAGUAAUGUGAAUUGCAGAAUUCAGUGAAUCAUCGAAUCUUUGAACGCACAUUGCGCCCGCUGGUAUUCCGGCGGGCAUGCCUGUUCGAGCGUCAUUUCAACCCUCAAGCCCCCGGGUUUGGUGUUGGGGAUCGGCUCUGCCCUUCUGGGCGGUGCCGCCCCCGAAAUACAUUGGCGGUCUCGCUGCAGCCUCCAUUGCGUAGUAGCUAACACCUCGCAACUGGAACGCGGCGCGGCCAUGCCGUAAAACCCCAACUUCUGAAUGUUGACCUCGGAUCA